CAGCCGCCGCGGUAAUACAGAGGGUGCGAGCGUUAAUCGGAUUUACUGGGCGUAAAGCGUGCGUAGGCGGCUUUUUAAGUCGGAUGUGAAAUCCCUGAGCUUAACUUAGCAAUUGCAUUCGAUACUGGGAAGCUAGAGUAUGGGAGAGGAUGGUAGAAUUCCAGGUGUAGCGGUGAAAUGCGUAGAGAUCUGGAGGAAUACCGAUGGCGAAGGCAGCCAUCUGGCCUAAUACUGACGCUGAGGUACGAAAGCAUGGGGAGCAAACAGGAUUAGAUACCCCUGUAGUCCCUGUCUCUUAUAA
RNAcentral lists this ribosomal RNA (301 nucleotides) under uncultured bacterium. Its description in RNAcentral is "partial 16S ribosomal RNA". It matches the Rfam family "Bacterial small subunit ribosomal RNA", at positions 509 to 809 of the family's 1533-position model. The record is from RNAcentral.